CACUUGUUCUUUAAAUAAGGACUAGUAUCAACGGCAUCACGAGGGUUACACUGUCUCCUCCAUCUAAUCAGUGAAACUGAUCUCCCCGUGAAGAAGCGGGGAUUUAAUAAUAAGACGAGAAGACCCCAUGGAGCUUUAAACCUCAAAGCAACUCUAACACACAAUUCACCACAAUCUACAGAGAUAUGCAGACAGCUUUAGGUUGGGGCGACCGCGGAGUAAAAACUAACCUCCACUACGAAAAGAGCUAAACCUUUAUCUAAGAGCUACCCCUCUAAGAAUUAGCAUACUAACGGACAAUGACCCGAUAAUCGAUCAACGGACCAAGUUACCCUGGGGAUAACAGCGCAAUCUACUUCAAGAGCCCAUAUCGACAAGUAGGCUUACGACCUCGAUGUUGGAUCAGGAUAUCCCAGUGGUGCAGCCGCUACUAAUGGUUCGUUUGUUCAACGAUUAAAAUCCUACGUGAU
This 470-nucleotide ribosomal RNA is filed under the name Rhacophorus bengkuluensis. RNAcentral's name for it is "partial 16S ribosomal RNA". It matches the Rfam family "Bacterial large subunit ribosomal RNA", at positions 1966 to 2604 of the family's 2925-position model. The record is from RNAcentral. Lineage: Eukaryota; Metazoa; Chordata; Amphibia; Anura; Rhacophoridae.